CCGCCGCCGCCGCGCCCUCC
RNAcentral lists this microRNA (20 nucleotides) under Gallus gallus (chicken). Its description in RNAcentral is "gga-miR-7475-5p". Lineage: Eukaryota; Metazoa; Chordata; Aves; Galliformes; Phasianidae. The record is from miRBase by way of RNAcentral.